This 391-nucleotide ribosomal RNA is filed under the name Pityogenes carinulatus. RNAcentral describes it as "partial 16S ribosomal RNA". Lineage: Eukaryota; Metazoa; Arthropoda; Insecta; Coleoptera; Curculionidae. The record is from RNAcentral.
CUCUUUCUUCGAUAAGAACUCUUAGAAAAAAUUACGCUGUUAUCCCUAAGGUAAUUUGCUCUUUUAAUCUAAACCAAUUUCAGGAUCAUUAAUUUUCAUAUAUCAAUGUUUCAAUUUAUAAAAAGUUAAUUAAAUUUUUAAAUCACCCCAAUCAAAUAUCAUUUACACAAAUUAUAAAAUUAUUCUUUAUCUAUAAUCUUUGCCUAAACAUAUUAAACUCUAUAGGGUCUUCUCGUCUUUUAUUAAAAUUUAAGCUUUUUUACUUAAAAAUAAAAUUCAAAACUUUAAAAUUGAGACAGAAACUUUUUCAUCAAACCCUUCAUUCCAGCUUCUAAUUAAGAAACUAAUGAUUAUGCUACCUUAGCACGGUCAAAAUACCGCGGCCAUUUAA